Molecule: long non-coding RNA, 488 nt
Organism: Toxorhynchites rutilus septentrionalis
Lineage: Eukaryota; Metazoa; Arthropoda; Insecta; Diptera; Culicidae
Exons: 3
Source: RefSeq, a predicted model, not a curated record
AGAUGAUUUCGCUCACAGUUGAUAACAGUGGCUCGGUGAAACAAGUUGGAGUUCUAUUUGAAAACGUGUAGAGUGUAUUGAUAGAAAAUGGGAAGAGUGUUAUUUUUUAUAUUGUUGGUAGUCAUGCUAACAGGGUUCAUCCAUUCCGCAACCACAAGCUGUAAAGCGAACGGCCACUAUUGUGUCGAACACAGUGAAUGUUGCUCCCGUAUCUGUAUGUUUUAUGCAGCCAAAUGUGUUUCUGGACCUUCCGGGCCUAUCACACCCCCCACCCAAGUCAAAUCCAGCCCAGCUCCAAAAUGUGCGAACAUCGGGGAAUACUGCCAGUACCACGAGGAUUGCUGUUCCCGAGCUUGCCAUUCCUUCCUGGCUAGAUGUGUUACAUGAACCGGGAUGAAAUUAAUCCAAUGGUUUCGAAUCAGGACCAUAGACUAUAAUGCUAUGCUUGAUUCCGGAAAUAAAUAUAUGCUUUAAAAACUGUUUAACAA